CGAGUCCAAAACAUAGUCGCUGGUGCCAAACAGCACGAGAGGAAAGUCCGGGCAACAAAGGGCAGAAUGCUGGUUAACAACCAGGCAGCGUGAGCUGAUGGAAAGUGCAGCAGAAAACAUACCGCCGAUGGCCUUUCGAGGCACAGGUAAGGGUGAAAAGGCAGGGUAAGGGCCUACCGCGACUCUGGUGACAGAGUCGGCAGUGUAAACCCCAUUCGUUGCAAGUCCAAAUAGAACCGCAUUGAGGGCGGCCCGUCCAGCGGUUGGGUAGGACGCUUGAAAUUCUUGGCAACAAGAAUUCUAGAUAAAUGACUAUGACUCCCAUUGCGAAAUCAAUGGGAGCACAGAACCCGGCUUAAUGCGGGCUCUGUUG
Molecule: RNase P RNA, 373 nt
Filed under: SAR324 cluster bacterium
Lineage: Bacteria; Deltaproteobacteria
Description: RNase P RNA component class A
Rfam family: Bacterial RNase P class A
About the family: Ribonuclease P (RNase P) is a ubiquitous endoribonuclease, found in archaea, bacteria and eukarya as well as chloroplasts and mitochondria. Its best characterised activity is the generation of mature 5'-ends of tRNAs by cleaving the 5'-leader elements of precursor-tRNAs. Cellular RNase Ps are ribonucleoproteins.
Source: RNAcentral